AAAUACUAAUAGCAUGGACAAUGAUAAUGACUGGUCCAUAGAAGGUACCAAUUAAAUUAGACUCAUUUUCUUUCAUUUACCUUCUCAGUACCUGAUGUCACAAGCUCAUUAUGAGGUCAUGGGGCUCCUGAAGAUAAACUCACGUGUUUGUUAAAACCUUGCUAAAGUUUAUUAAAGCUUGUCAAAGAAGAUUCUGAUUUGCUGAGACUGCUUUAAAACAUCUGACUCAAGACAAAUAAAUCAAGACAUCUUGAUUCCUUUGAAGAAAGGCAGCCAGGAAAUGUGAAGCAUGGUGAUGGUGGCCUUUUCAGGAGUGGGUGG
This 321-nucleotide long non-coding RNA is filed under the name Bos taurus (domestic cattle). RNAcentral's name for it is "long non-coding RNA NONBTAT018800". The record is from RNAcentral. Lineage: Eukaryota; Metazoa; Chordata; Mammalia; Artiodactyla; Bovidae.